CCUACGGGAGUCUGCAGUAGGGAAUUUUUCACAAUGGGCGAAAGCCUGAUGGAGCAAUGCCGCGUGAAUGAUGAAGGUCUUAUAGAUUGUAAAAUUCUUUUAUUUGGGAAGAAAACCUAAAGGAGGAAAUGACUUGAGUCUGACUGGUCCAUUUGAAGAAGAAUGGGCUAACAAUGUGCCAGCAGCCGCGGUAAUACAUAGGAUGCAAGCGUUAUCCGGAUUUACUGGGCGUAAAACGAGCUCAGGCGGGUUAACACGUUUGGUCUGAAAGGCUUUUGGUUAACGAAAGUUUGUAUCAAAAACUGUUGAUCUGGCGUGUAGUAGCGCGGUCUGGAAUACCAGGUGGAGCGGUGGAAUGCGUAGAUAUAUGGAAGAACACCUGUGGCGACGGCGAGAACUUAGGCUAUCACUGACGCUUCGGCUCGAAAGUGUGGGGAGCAAAUAGGAUUAGAUACCCCGGUAGUC
RNAcentral lists this ribosomal RNA (465 nucleotides) under uncultured bacterium. RNAcentral's name for it is "partial 16S ribosomal RNA". It matches the Rfam family "Bacterial small subunit ribosomal RNA", at positions 338 to 795 of the family's 1533-position model. The record is from RNAcentral.